This 460-nucleotide ribosomal RNA is filed under the name uncultured bacterium. Its description in RNAcentral is "partial 16S ribosomal RNA". It matches the Rfam family "Bacterial small subunit ribosomal RNA", at positions 338 to 795 of the family's 1533-position model. The record is from RNAcentral.
CCUACGGGAGGCAGCAGUGAGGAAUAUUGGACAAUGGGCGCAAGCCUGAACCAGCCAAGUAGCGUGAAGGAUGAAUGCCCUACGGGUUGUAAACUUCUUUGAUAAAGGGAUAAAGUGAGGCGCGUGUGCCUUUUGGUAUGUACUUUACGAAUAAAGAUAGGCUAACUCCGUUCCAGCAGCCGCGGUAAUACGGAGGAUCCGAGCGAUAUCCGGAUUUAUUGGGUUGAAAGGGAGCGUAGAGGGUUUGUUAAGUCAGUUGUGAAAGUUUGCGGCUCAACCGGAAAAUUGCAAUUGAUACUGGCAGCCUUGAGUACAGUUGAGGGAGGCGGAAUUCGUGGUGUAGCGGUGAAAUGCUUAGAGAUCACGAAGAACUCCGAUGGCGAAGGCAGCUUACUAAACUGCCACUGACGUUGAUGCGCGAAAGUGUGGGUAGCAAACAGGAUUAGAUACCCCGGUAGUC